UACGUAGGUGGCAAGCGUUGUUCGGAAUUACUGGGCGUAAAGGGCUCGUAGGUGGCCAACUAAGUCGGACGUGAAAUCCCUCAGCUUAACUGGGGAACUGCGUCCGAUACUGGAUGGCUUGAGUUUGGGAGAGGGAUGCGGAAUUCCAGGUGUAGCGGUGAAAUGCGUAGAUAUCUGGAGGAACACCGGUGGCGAAGGCGGCAUCCUGGACCGGUAUUGACGCUGAGGCGCGAAAGCCAGGGGAGCAAACGGG
This 253-nucleotide ribosomal RNA is filed under the name uncultured bacterium. RNAcentral's name for it is "partial 16S ribosomal RNA". It matches the Rfam family "Bacterial small subunit ribosomal RNA", at positions 524 to 776 of the family's 1533-position model. The record is from RNAcentral.